This 713-nucleotide ribosomal RNA is filed under the name Montenegrina lillae. Its description in RNAcentral is "partial 12S ribosomal RNA". Lineage: Eukaryota; Metazoa; Mollusca; Gastropoda; Stylommatophora; Clausiliidae. The record is from RNAcentral.
ACACUAAAAAUAUGUGAAUUCAAAUUAUAUUAAUAUUAUUAAAUAUUACUAUUAAGUCCAUCUUCUUUAUAAUAGUACUAUCAAAAUUCCGAAUUAAGUAAAUAUUGUAACUCGCCUCACAUUCUUACCUAUGAGCUGCACCUUGAUUUGUAUAGUUAUGUUUUGUUUAUUUUUUAAGCUCACCAGAAGGUAAAGUUCAAUACAACGGUAUACAAGCUUUGUAAGAUAAGUAGAUUAUACUUGGUGGUUAUCAAUUAUAUGGUAAGUUCCCCUAAUUUUUUUUUUUAGCCGCCAUAUUAUUUAAAUUUGAACUUUAAUUAAAAUAGUUGUAGUCUUUAUAUUAAGUAACAUAGUUCUUUAUAAUUGGGUAUCUAAUCCAAGUUUAUUAAUUAGAAUUUUAUAUUAUUUAAAUUAUAAACGGUAACAUUUACAUUAUGUAUUUCACUACAAUAAUAAAAAAUAAAUAAAUUUGUCAAGUUAUUAUAACUGUUUAACAUCUUAAUACAUAAUAGCUAAAUUUUCCUAUUAGGUUUGACCGCGGUUGCUGGCACCUAAUUAACCAAGGAUAAGUAGUUAUCUAAAUUUAAUUUUCAUUAAUAGGUUUAAAAUUAUUAACUGGGUAAUUUAUUUAUUUCCCCAUAUAAAGCUAUACUAUCAAUUUAUUCAAUCAUCGGAAUAAAGUGUUUUUACAGGGGUGUUUAGUCCAUUUUAGG